AGCAGAGUAGAGCAGUUUGAUAGCUCACGAGGCUCAUAACCUUGAGGUCACGGGUUCGAUUCCCGUCUCCGCAC
This 74-nucleotide transfer RNA is filed under the name Triticum urartu. It matches the Rfam family "tRNA". Rfam says of the family: Transfer RNA (tRNA) molecules are approximately 80 nucleotides in length. The record is from Rfam by way of RNAcentral. Lineage: Eukaryota; Viridiplantae; Streptophyta; Magnoliopsida; Poales; Poaceae.